AUCCAGCUAACGAGUCCCAAAUAGGACAAAACGCGCAUCCUUGAU
RNAcentral lists this non-coding RNA (45 nucleotides) under Schistosoma mansoni. The record is from RNAcentral. Lineage: Eukaryota; Metazoa; Platyhelminthes; Trematoda; Strigeidida; Schistosomatidae.